UCUGUGGUGGCUCAUUGGUUUAAGGUGUUGGACUACUGCUCAGAAGAUCAUGAAUUCAAACCCCACCACCAAA
Molecule: non-coding RNA, 73 nt
Organism: Ameiurus melas (black bullhead)
Lineage: Eukaryota; Metazoa; Chordata; Actinopteri; Siluriformes; Ictaluridae
Source: the annotation of a GenBank genome assembly